RNAcentral lists this long non-coding RNA (1850 nucleotides) under Salmo salar (Atlantic salmon). RNAcentral describes it as "lncRNA (ENSSSAG00000116277.1)". Lineage: Eukaryota; Metazoa; Chordata; Actinopteri; Salmoniformes; Salmonidae. The record is from RNAcentral.
CUCUGGUGGCACAGCUAGCACUGCGCCUUAGACCACUGCGCCACCCGGGAGGCCCUAAUGUUUUUCAAGGUUAAACAAAGUUGGUUGAGUUCAUUCCUUGCUGGGUGUAUAGGUCUAAGGCUGUGCCACCAGAGAUUCUGGGUUCGACUCCAGGCUCUGUCUCAGUGGUCUAAGGCUGUGCCACCAGAGAUUCUGGGUUCGAGUCCAGGCUCUGUCUCAGCCGGCCGCGACCGGGUGGACACUACAUCAGAUGGUGAACUCUGCUACUCCGUUGUCAUGGUCUACAUAAGUACAUUUUAAUAAACAUCUACUCUGGUUACACUUGAGCGAACAGGGAUAUAUCCACGAGGGAUGGUAUAGAAGUUGAUAUCCAGAAAGCUCUGCCACACAGAUUGUUUUUAUUAAACUACAUAUCCACUAGGUGACAGUAUGAUGCUGCUUUAAAGGUUCACAAUUCUAGAGACUUCUAACAAUCCUGUAUUGUGUUAUUCAUUUGUUUUUAAUGUUGUUGACCUUUUUAAAAGUUGCCUACACAUCAACAUCUCAAGCACAGAAGUUUUGCCAUCAGUUCUCAGUCCCACUCGGUCGUGUUUCUGGGAAAGAACAGAUGGAUGUACUGAAAAAUGUGUGCUUACACACAUACACACUCUCUUUCUUACUUUCUCUCUCUCUCUCUGGGGCUACCUAACACUGUAAUGUGUCUUACAUAUCGCUCACUAUGUGCUACGAGCCUCGGUGAGAAAGAACCGUUGUCUUUGCCAGGAUAGGAUUUGGGGUGUUUGCUGUGUAACUGUUCCAUGGGAAAGCCCUGUGCUGAAGGAAUGAUGUGCUGUCAGAUUAGAGAAACUAUCUGUUUAUCUGUCUAUCUGGAAUAGAGUCCUUGCUUGUUUAGAGCCCUGCAUCUGUCCUCACAGAUCCCCAGUGGAGUUUAGCCAAAGAUACAAUGGUAAACUGUCUCCAUGAUGCCGGAUGUGUUGAGUCCCAUCCAUGUGUACAAUACUGGGAGAAAGUCUGUCUUGCUGAGACACUGCAUGGCCAUUAAGGCUGGCUUGGACCACUCCUCUGGAAGUAAAAACCUAAAGCACAGAUGUGAUCUAUAGAGGAUGGCCUCACAGUUAAAGACAUGGGAACACUGCGCGUGUGUGGCCCCUUGGAUAAAGACAUGGGGACAGAGACUGAUUCAGUUUGGAAGUGUCGGUAGUAAGGGAUAAACGAUACCUUUUCAAGCCUCUGAUGUCUUGACGUUUAUGGAAGUACUGUCUAGAAAGACCCCUUGUGACACAUUGUAUUGAUGUGUUAAUCCUCACGAUAUAACAUGGCUGAAAUUGUAUGAUCUAUAAUAAUAAUUCAUUUAAUUUGUAAAGUGCUUUUCUCACACCAAAGGUGCUUAAAAAUUAUUAAAAACAAUCCAAAAUAACAACAUAGAACACACACAGAAUUAUCAGAAUUCCUUUUCUGACCAGCAAGGUCUUGAUAAUGUAUAUAGACUGUAAACUAGACCAUAAAGCAUCUGCUAUAAAACACAUUGAUGGAUUUAUCUAUUGUUAUAGAAGUCAUAGGCUACUUUGGAAAAGUCACCUAAAUAAUUACCCUGGCAUCCAUCUACCCCCUCUAGGCGCUCAAUGUAGAUUCCGGGAAACAAUUGAAUGCAGAAACCAAACAGAGCCAAAAACUAAUUUACGCAACAGUGUCUUUAUUUGCGCACAUUAAGCAUGGGUGAUAAUGUGUUUUUCUACCGGAAUAUUUCGGUUCAUAAAGUAAACUCGAGUUUGGAGUACUACAAGAGCGCCUCUCUGUCUCGCGAUUAAAGUGCAGUCGGCUCUGCUUCCAGUUAGUAAAGGCGUCUACAG